CUCCUCCCCAGCAGCCGGCACCCGCCUGGCCCAACAGUGACAGAGCAGGGCGCGCAGCCGCUGAGUGCUCUGGAGUCCCUGCCCCGAGGUGCCACGCCCACGUCGGCCUCACCCGGGCAGGCAUGGGGCGGUCGGGCUUAGCGCCGCACCCCGCCGGCCAGAGCCACCGUCUCUCCAGACGCGGCCCCAGCGCCCACUGGGGAUGGCAAAGACGACAUCCGGUGCGCCGAGGCUGCUCACAAAAUCUUCCCACACAGGUUGAGAGAGGAGGGGAUCCAAUUGCCUGUGAGGAGGACACGGCUCCUGGGUGGACCCUGCAGAUUGUGAAGUUCAAGUCACAGCUCCUGGGAAGGUCUCUGUGUGUAAAGAUCGUGGGGGUGAGACAGAUUCAGGGACCACACUCUGCUCUGCUCUGUACCUCUGAGUGUCGAUCCAGCUGCCUUGUGACCAGGACACUUAGAAGAAGCAUGGACCCUGCAAGAGGGCAGGUUUGGAGAGUGAGAUGAGCACGCUUGAGGGAUUAACGUGUAACUUGAACCACUGCCUCGCAAACUACGUGAGGGCGUGCAGAGACAGGGUAUCACCAGACUCCUGGGACCUCCGCCUCCCGGGAUGGUCUCCAUCUCCUGACCUCGUGAUCCGCCUGCCUCUGUCUCCCAAAGUGCUGGGAUUACAGGCCUGAGCCACCGCGCCCGGCCAGAUGGGCUCAAGGACAGCUUGCCUGACUGCAGCCAUAAGGAUGAAGCCUCUUCAGGUAGAGAAGGACUCCAGGUCAUUUGGCCAAUUUAAUGCCGACAGAAGAGGCCACCAUCUGAAUGUAAUUUAUCUCCUCUUUCAUCUCCUUUCAUUCCCCUCCUCCUUUUUUUUUUUUUUUUGGGACAGAGUCUCACUCUGUUGCCCAGGCUGGAGUGCAGUGGCGUGAUCUUGGCUCACUGCAAGCUCUGCCUCCCAGGUUCACGCCAUUCUCCUGCCUCAGCCUCCUGAGUAGCUGGGACUACAGGCACCCGCCACCACGCCCAGCUAAUUUUUUGUGUUUUUAGUAGAGACGAGGUUUAGCGUGUCUAUGUGACACCCCAGGAUUUUAGCAGAUACACAAGUGAAAAACCAUGUUGCUAAAAAGUAUUUCCCAUCUUCCAAUUUUCUUAUCAUCAUCUUGGAAAUAAAAUCUGUACGUACUUGGGAAUAAAAUUUAUUGAAUUAUCAAAAAUAUGUAUGCUAAUGUAUGUGAGUCAUUAGCUAUAUCCACAUUGACAUAAAAUUUGUGAAGACUCUUCAAAAUCUCUUAAAGAUUUAUUUGGCUGGGCGCGGUGGCUCACGCCUGUAAUCCCAGCAGUUUGGGAGGCUGAGGCAGGCGGAUCAUGAGGUCAGGAGAUGGAGACCAUCCUGGCUAACACGGUGAAACCCCGUCUCUACUAAAAAUACAAAAAACUAGCUGGGCGUGGUGGCGCGCGCCUGUAGUCCCAGCUACUCGGGAGGCUGAGGCAGGAGAAUGGCGUGAACCCGGGAGGCGGAGCUCGGAGUGAGCCGAGAUCACGCCACUGCACUCCAGCCUGGGUGACAGAGCGAGGACUCUGUCUCAAAAAAAGGAAAAAUAAAAACACGAGAACGUACUGCAGGAGAAAACAGGCCUGGCCUGAGACGGCUGUGCCGGCUUUCUGAGGCCGUGAAUGGCAAGACCUCGAGACUGUCAAGAGGAGCAAGAGGAGUCGGGAUUUAGCGUCAGUGAUGAGGUGCGCCACUCACUGUGUGACUUCAGAGUGUUUCUGGGGAAAGAAAAUGAAGUCCUGUGAAGUAUGCGGAGCACCCUCAGCAGCAGCCGUGGAUCUGAACAGCCUCCCAGACACAGACGCCAUGGGUGUGAAGUGUGUCAGGAACAAGCGAAGUCACCCACAAUGGAGAGGAACACCCUAGUGUGCUAGAACUUUUGAACCACUUUUCCUCCUGUCUUGGGUCAGGCCUCAUAGCUAACCCUUUGGUGCGCGGUACUCUCUCUGGCUAUUGGAGAGAUGUGAGAAGCUUAAGAAAAGCAAAUGAGAAGACGUGGAGCAGGCAGAUGGCCGGUCCCCAUGGAAGAGUCCCCAUUGUGAGGCCUCCCUGGGGAUCUGGCGGUGGCCACAACACACUGGCCGGUGAGAUUGGUUGUGAUUGUCAUUGUUGUGGAAAAUGAUUAUCAUCUGUCCUCAAUGGUGCCAAUGCUGACUCACCUGGAGGUGGAAUGAUGGCCAUGGUGACACUGAGGAGGGAGCGUGGCAGAGGGAAUGAUGGCCGUGGUGACACUGAGGAGGGAGCGUGGCAGAGGGAAUGAUGGCCGUGGUGACACUGAGGAGGGAGCGUGGCAGAGGGAACGAUGGCCAUGGCUGACAUUGAGGAAGGAGCUGGCAGAGGGAAUGAUGGCCGUGGUGACACUGAAGAGGGAGCGUGGCAGAGGGAAUGAUGGCCAUGGUGAAACUGAGGAGGGAGCGUGGCAGAGGGAAUGAUGGCCGUGGUGAUAUUGAGGAGGGAGCGUGGCAGAGGGAACGAUGGCCAUGGUGACACUGAGGAGGGAGCGUGGCAGAGGGAACGAUGGCCAUGGUGACACUGAGGAGGGAGCGUGGCAGAGGGAACGAUGGCCAUGGUGACACUGAGGAGGGAGCGUGGCAGAGGGAACGAUGGCCAUGGUGACACUGAGGAGGGAGCGUGGCAGAGGGAACGAUGGCCAUGGCUGACAUUGAGGAGGGAGCUGGCAGAGGGAACGAUGGCCAUGGCUGAC
Molecule: long non-coding RNA, 2749 nt
Filed under: Homo sapiens (human)
Lineage: Eukaryota; Metazoa; Chordata; Mammalia; Primates; Hominidae
Description: HSALNT0098656
Source: RNAcentral